GUCGUCGAUCCGAUAUGGCUGCUUAUCGAUGUAAAACGGCUCUUGCAAGUAAUCAUGGGUAAAAAGGAUACAGUUCAAAUGACGUGCAGUUUAAAAGUGUCAUAACGCAUCGACUAGGUACCUGUGUGGCCAUUGGAUGGACAGCAAGGUUAGAGCCCAUGGUAGUCCUGGCAAUUCUCCGUCGUACCCCUGGGAUCCCCCUGGCAUCCUCACGGACCGUCGAGAAGCCUCAGGUUUCCAGUUUUUCUCAGCGCCGCAGCUCAACCAGCUCUCGAUCUAAUAGCUCGGCUCGAGUCCCUCGGUCCGUGCUCCUUCCUCUCCUUCAGCUUUGCUCCUCGCUCUUUCCUGCCGACGUCUCCUCUCGUCCUACGUCCACGCCGGAGACACACUCCUCCCCCACCUCACUCCGGAUCCCAAGCGUCCAGGAGCUCAGGCUGCCGAGGCCUGUGCCAGCCAGAAGCGAACACGGCGAAGCCGGGCAGCCCGCGCGGAUCUCGACCUAAUGAGGAUAAUUCCUGCAUUGAUUGCCAAGCAUCGAAUGGUGCAGCCUCCGGUUGGCUGGCUGAACGCUCGUUUGGAUUGGCUUUGCUUGGCUCGCUCGCUGACGACGGAAGAUCGGGGCCCUGUUAUCGGCGGUGGGCGAUUCGGCUGGCAUCUGGUGAGGAUCUGGCCUGCUGCCGAGUCGGAAGGAUCCGAUGAAAAAGAUGGGGGACAGACGCAUGAAGAAAAUAUCUAAUAAAGACGAGGAAUCUUCACCUCGCUAACCGUGGAGCGAGCAGGAGAAAAAGUCUCGGAGAAAUAAUGACGAUG
This is a long non-coding RNA of Cephus cinctus (wheat stem sawfly), 810 nucleotides long. RefSeq lists it as uncharacterized. The record is from RefSeq and is a predicted model, not a curated record. Lineage: Eukaryota; Metazoa; Arthropoda; Insecta; Hymenoptera; Cephidae. The transcript has 3 exons.